RNAcentral lists this small RNA (27 nucleotides) under Bombyx mori (domestic silkworm). RNAcentral's name for it is "ovarian small RNA-9095". Lineage: Eukaryota; Metazoa; Arthropoda; Insecta; Lepidoptera; Bombycidae. The record is from RNAcentral.
UGUGAGGAUUGGGAAGUCCUCUGGGUA